UACUCGUUGAUGUAAAGUGCAUGAAAAGUUUUGAUUUUUUAAGAAAUGGUGUAAUUCCAUUACGUGUAA
RNAcentral lists this transfer RNA (69 nucleotides) under Metopograpsus quadridentatus. Its description in RNAcentral is "tRNA-Gln". Lineage: Eukaryota; Metazoa; Arthropoda; Malacostraca; Decapoda; Grapsidae. The record is from RNAcentral.